AUUGAACGCUGGCGGAAUGCUUUACACAUGCAAGUCGAACGAUGAACCUUAGCCUGCUAAGGGGAUUAGUGGCGAACGGGUGAGUAAUGUAUCGGAUCGUAUCCAAUAAUGGGGGAUAACUAGUCGAAAGAUUAGCUAAUACCGCAUACGUCCUACGGGAGAAAGCUAGGGACCUUCGGGCCUGGCGUUAAUGGCGCGGCCGAUAUCUGAGUAGCUAGUUGGUGGGGUAAAGGCUCACCAAGGCGACGAUCAGUAGCUGGUCUGAGAGGACGACCAGCCACACUGGAACUGAGACACGGUCCAGACUCCUACGGGAGGCAGCAGUGGGGAAUUUUGGACAAUGGGCGAAAGCCUGAUCCAGCCAUUCCGCGUGAGUGAAGAAGGCCUUCGGGUUGUAAAGCUCUUUCGCAAGAGAAGAAAACUUAAGCUCUAACAUAGCUUGAGGUUGACGGUACCUUGAUAAGAAGCACUGGCUAACUACGUGCCAGCAGCCGCCGUAA
RNAcentral lists this ribosomal RNA (500 nucleotides) under uncultured bacterium. RNAcentral's name for it is "partial 16S ribosomal RNA". It matches the Rfam family "Bacterial small subunit ribosomal RNA", at positions 30 to 523 of the family's 1533-position model. The record is from RNAcentral.